AAUCUGUAUAACUAACACGCAUAAUUAUACACUUGAAAAUUCAAAUCUGAUAAACUGUUCUAUAUAGCUUUAAUUUCAUAUGUUAAAUAUCUAUUUUGAAAUUUAUGACAUGGCACAUGAUGAUGUAACAAUUUUUUUUAUUGAUUCAACGGCCGUUGCCCACCACCAAAACGAACAGAAAAUGGACACCCUAUUUGAAGCAUAACACAUGUCAUUUAUUGAUUAUGAGUUUGCUUCACACGACUGUAUGUUGCUAUUCAAAUCAAAUAUCCAAGCCGACACAAUUGAUUGCUUCAUCAACACGUCGUAUUUCUUGUAUUGAAUAUAUUCAUGAUUGAAUUUCAAUAAAGACGUUUUUGAAUUUGUAUUACAAACAAGCAUAAUGUAUUUAAUAUAUAGUCUAUAUAGCUUUAAUGUCAAUAAUUAUAUACCCAUUUUUAAUUCAUGUCAUGGCAUUAUACACACUUAUAGAACUUAUCAAGAAAGUGUACAACGAAUUUAUCAAUUUUCUUCUUCAGAAAAUUCACACCAUAGUUGAAGCAGCAUGAAAACCCACCUUGUCAAGCAAAGAUAAACGCAAUAAACUAUUUAAUAAAUAGUUGAUGCAAAAAAUACUAGAGGGACAGUCAAACUCAUGAAUCGAAAAUAAACUGACAACACCAUGGCUAAAAAUGAAAAAGACAAACAGACAAACAAUAGUACACAUGAUACAACAUAGAAAAUGAAAGCUAUACUUAAUUGUAGUUUAAACAUCGGUUAACAUUAUAUUUGUGAUUAUUUUAAAA
RNAcentral lists this long non-coding RNA (785 nucleotides) under Mytilus galloprovincialis (Mediterranean mussel). Lineage: Eukaryota; Metazoa; Mollusca; Bivalvia; Mytilida; Mytilidae. The record is from RNAcentral.